Molecule: ribosomal RNA, 352 nt
Filed under: uncultured Gammaproteobacteria bacterium
Lineage: Bacteria; Pseudomonadati; Pseudomonadota; Gammaproteobacteria
Description: bacterial SSU rRNA
Rfam family: Bacterial small subunit ribosomal RNA
Source: RNAcentral
AUGGUGAGUGGCGCACGGGUGAGUAACGCGUGGAUAAUCUGCCCUCUACUGGGGAAUAACUAACCGAAAGGUUAGCUAAUACCGCAUGAGACCACAGUCACUACGGUGACAGAGGUUAAAGAUUUAUUGGUAGAGGAUGAGUCUGCGUGGGAUUAGCUAGUUGGUGGGGUAAUGGCCUACCAAGGCGACGAUCUCUAACAGGUCUGAGAGGAUGACCUGUCACACUGGAACUGAGACACGGUCCAGACUCCUACGGGAGGCAGCAGUAGGGAAUAUUGCGCAAUGGGCGAAAGCCUGACGCAGCGACGCCGCGUGAGUGAUGAAGGCCUUCGGGUCGUAAAGCUCUGUUGUA